AGUGAGCGCUGGCGGUAGGCCUAACACAUGCAAGUCGAACGGCAGCACAGUAAGAGCUUGCUCUUACGGGUGGCGAGUGGCGGACGGGUGAGGAAUACAUCGGAAUCUACUUUUUCGUGGGGGAUAACGUAGGGAAACUUACGCUAAUACCGCAUACGACCUACGGGUGAAAGCAGGGGAUCUUCGGACCUUGCGCGAUUGAAUGAGCCGAUGUCGGAUUAGCUAGUUGGCGGGGUAAAGGCCCACCAAGGCGACGAUUCGUAGCUGGUCUGAGAGGAUGAUCAGCCACACUGGAACUGAGACACGGUCCAGACUCCUACGGGAGGCAGCAGUGGGGAAUAUUGGACAAUGGGCGCAAGCCUGAUCCAGCCAUACCGCGUGGGUGAAGAAGGCCUUCGGGUUGUAAAGCCCUUUUGUUGGGAAAGAAAAGCAGCAGGUUAAUACCCCGCUGUUCUGACGGUACCCAAAGAAUAAGCACCGGCUAACUUCGUG
Molecule: ribosomal RNA, 492 nt
Filed under: uncultured bacterium
Lineage: Bacteria
Description: partial 16S ribosomal RNA
Rfam family: Bacterial small subunit ribosomal RNA
Source: RNAcentral